RNAcentral lists this ribosomal RNA (492 nucleotides) under uncultured bacterium. RNAcentral describes it as "partial 16S ribosomal RNA". It matches the Rfam family "Bacterial small subunit ribosomal RNA", at positions 29 to 507 of the family's 1533-position model. The record is from RNAcentral.
AGUGAACGCUGGCGGUAGGCCUAACACAUGCAAGUCGAACGGCAGCACAGUAAGAGCUUGCUCUUACGGGUGGCGAGUGGCGGACGGGUGAGGAAUACAUCGGAAUCUACUUUUUCGUGGGGGAUAACGUAGGGAAACUUACGCUAAUACCGCAUACGACCUGCGGGUGAAAGCAGGGGAUCUUCGGACCUUGCGCGAUUGAAUGAGCCGAUGUCGGAUUAGCUAGUUGGCGGGGUAAAGGCCCACCAAGGCGACGAUCCGUAGCUGGUCUGAGAGGAUGAUCAGCCACACUGGAACUGAGACACGGUCCAGACUCCUACGGGAGGCAGCAGUGGGGAAUAUUGGACAAUGGGCGCAGGCCUGAUCCAGCCAUACCGCGUGGGUGAAGAAGGCCUUCGGGUUGUAAAGCCCUUUUGUUGGGAAAGAAAAGCAGCAGGUUAAUACCCCGCUGUUCUGACGGUACCCAAAGAAUAAGCACCGGCUAACUUCGUG